RNAcentral lists this ribosomal RNA (82 nucleotides) under Geothelphusa tenuimanus. RNAcentral describes it as "partial 5.8S rRNA". It matches the Rfam family "5.8S ribosomal RNA", at positions 35 to 116 of the family's 154-position model. From Rfam's summary of the family: 5.8S ribosomal RNA (5.8S rRNA) is a component of the large subunit of the eukaryotic ribosome. The record is from RNAcentral. Lineage: Eukaryota; Metazoa; Arthropoda; Malacostraca; Decapoda; Potamidae.
GAUGAAGACCGCAGCAAGCUGCGUGUCGGUAUGUGAAUCGCAAGAAUACCAGAUACAUCGACAAGUCGAACGCACAUUGCGG